RNAcentral lists this non-coding RNA (30 nucleotides) under Mus musculus (house mouse). The record is from RNAcentral. Lineage: Eukaryota; Metazoa; Chordata; Mammalia; Rodentia; Muridae.
UAACUAGAUGGACUCACUUUGAUGUUACCA